Molecule: ribosomal RNA, 492 nt
Filed under: Triticum aestivum (bread wheat)
Lineage: Eukaryota; Viridiplantae; Streptophyta; Magnoliopsida; Poales; Poaceae
Description: partial small subunit ribosomal RNA
Source: RNAcentral
AUGGAGACGGUUCUUGUCACAACUCGGUUUCCAUCUAUAGCACAUAUGGUGAAAAUCACUGAUCCAGUAGAACUACAUAGUUUGGAGCCUAAUGAUUUCUUUGAAUUCUUUGAAGCAUGUAUGUUUGGUCAUAGCAAACCCGAGCAUUAUGAAGAUGAGCUAAUUGAUGUCGCAAGAGAUAUUGCAAAGAAACUAAAGGGUUCACCACUAGCAGCCGAUACAGUUGGUCGAUUAUUGGAGAAAAACCUUUCUCGGGACUAUUGGAUUGGAGUUCUUGAAAAGGAUGAAUGGCAAAAUGCCAAAGAUGUUGAUGACAUUAUGCCAUCUCUAAAAAUUAGUUAUGAUUGCCUCCCUUUCCUUCUGAAAAAAUGUUUUUCUUAUUUUGCCGUUUUCCCUGAAGAUUAUAGGUUUUAUAAUUUAGAAAUUACUAGCUUUUGGACCGUGAUAGGUAUCUUAGACUCUAGUUGCCAAGACAAUAACAAUUACUUAUAA